GUGUGGUGCCCUGCCUGUCAGAUAGGGAGAGGAGCUGGAGGAGGAGAUGUCUGCAGUCAGAGCCAUCGCUUUGUGAUAUUGCAUUCCCCGGACAAGAGCACCUGUGAGGAGAGAGCUGCAUAGGCUCUGGGAGGUGGGAACGUUUUACAAAAGCAUCACAAACAUCUGCUGAGAGGUACCUGUGGAUGUGACAACGAGAGAGGAGGAGGAGGAGGUGCAGGGGGGAGGGAGAAGGGGUCUUCAGAAGAGGCUGGAGCCCCCAUCCUCAUGGAGGUGAUGGGAAAGGCUCGAUGGCACUGUGGGGGCCACCAACCCUGCCAGGCUCGGGAGGGAGCCUCUGGAGAGGCAAUCUCAGGGCUUUGGUAUAUGACAGGAGUGAGGAGUGAGCCAGAUUUGCUUGAAAUACUUCAUUUUAAUUGCAGAAGGCUGCCUGCCGUCUCCCUGCCUGCUUGCUGGGAAGCGUUUCCACCUCAGCCAUGCAACUUUAGGGCUGCUGGGAGGCGUUAGGGCUGGGCAGGAAUAAGUCCUUGAUGCAGGUGUCUCCCUGUGAGCAGUCCUCAAGAUUUCAGCCUUGGGCUGCCCUGUGCCCUGCUGGGGAGGCUCCUUGGGCCACCCAGCCUCACUGCUUUGAUGCAUUUUUGGAAGUUGUUCAUGUUUUGCUCAAAACCUUGGGGACAGCUCGGUGGUCAUGGAUGGGUUUUCUAACCCACGUUUUGUGGGGAGAGAGGUACCCUUGAAGAUGAGCUGAUGCUUAUGGUCAAACCACCCAGGGCAGGCAACAAGGAUAAAACAGACAUGAUUUUGAACCUAUUUCCCUGCUCUUUUGGCUGCUUGGUGUUGACAGCACUGAAACGGAGCAUGGAUUUCCCACCAGGACCUGCAAUUCCAGUGAUUUUCCCAAAUCCCUCAGUCUCCAGAAGCCAUUAAACAAAAUCGCUGCCUUCCCUGUGACCUCCCAUUGCAGUUCACAAUCUGAUGCUCUGCACUGCUGUAAAUCCCAGCCCCUGGGACACCUCCCAGACCCGGGUGUCUGCUGAGCACCUCGCAAACCACCCGUGGGCUCGGCUGCAUCUGGUCCCGCGGUGCUUCAGCCUCGCAGGUUCCCUGGCAGGAGGUGACUGGCACAGGGAAAUUGUUCCUCUGGUAGUCUGUCUUUCCUUCUCUUUUCAUAUAAAGAAUGCAUGGGGAGGGUGUGAUGCAGGUGUUUCACCCCACAACGUGGGUCUGGAAGAGCUGGCAGAAACCGUGGAUGUAUCCAGCCCUUCACACGAUGAGGAGAAUUCAGUCCUGUUGGAAAACGUGACGCCUGCCCCAGAGGAUCUCGCACCGCGACGGGCCCAGUACAGGAACAACCGGCACUUCAGCUCUGCUGGAACGAAGCGGCAUGGAGAUGGCGGGGGUGUAAAUCAGCCCCUUCCUCGCCUCGCUGCAGCCAUCCGCCCUCGGUUUUGCAGUGUGCUGUGCCCUGGGCUCGCCCCUCGCUGGGGUUUGGUCCCAGCAGCCCACCAGGCUGCAGCCCUCGCUGUGCUGGCACCCGUUGUGGUGCUGUUGGAAAUGGCAGCGCAUCGCUGCUCACCGGGCACCCGUCAGGCAAAAGCACCAAGGAUAAAAAGGCAGAGACACGGGAAAACGGGACCAGCAUGUAAGAGAGAUGAGCGUGCAGCUGUAUUGCCCGUGAAGCCCUGCACCUGCGGAGGGCUGGAGCUGCCCUGCUCGCUGUUGCCAGCCUGGCCCCGCGCUGUGUGUUCGCCUUCUGGAUGUCCCUGCGUGGCCGUGCCAUGCGGGAAGGGCACAGGAGCAGGGUGGGACGGUGGCUGCCGUCCCCUCCCUGCAAGCGUUGAGCAUGGUAAGGCUCUGCCAUGACUGUAAGGAGAUUUCAUCUCUUUGUGGGGCGGUGGAGGUGGUGGCAGAAGGGCUCAAUGCACAUCCAGGGCCUCUCUGAAAGCUGAGAGGAGAGCGGGGCAGAAGGGGAGACAUCCGAGCUCGACAGAGGGACAGCAGAUGGAUUGGAAGGAGCGUAACCUCGUGGAAAUGCAUGCUCUGGUCCCUGCAGCUGGCAUUAUGGGCCAAUUAUUCUCAGUGCAACAAUGCGUUUCUCACUGGAAAGCAAUGCGUUCCCAUUCCACACAACGGGCAUCAGGGCCUGGGAUGGGGCUCAGAGCCCAGGAGGGGUCAGAGCCAGCGUGGCCACCAUCACGUGCAGCAGCUCCUGGUUCAGACCCAGCAGGCACCCCUGGAACAGGAGCACAGCACCUCGGGAAGGGGCUCAGCACGCCGGGAUGAGUUAUCCCCCCCCAGCUGGCCUGUGCCAUCCACGUCUGGGUGUAAGUGACAUCCCCACCAUGCCAGGUCCUUGACCCGGGAGGAAUUGCUCAGCCACGCUGGCCACCUGACUGCUGGGGCAACCUGCUGCGGAGAGAGGCUUCGGCACAGCCCGGUGCCAGGGUGAAGGGGCUGCUUUGAUCAGCCUCUCGGGGGGGGCACAUGAUCCCUGGGAGAGUCGCAUGAUCCCUNGGGGGGGGGGGGGGGGGCACACGAUCCACCCACCCUGGGGCUUGAAGAGGUGGGAACUUCUGGGUGAGGGUGCUGGAGGAUGUCCUCUCCCUGGGCUGUGGUCACUGCUGGGUCUGCACUGAGACCCACGCAAACUUACACGUCCCACUGGAGCCUGUCCCUCUUUGGGGGAGUGUGGUGGUGGUUUGGGUGGGCACCCCAACUAACCUAGGGGUCUGCAACCACCCAGGGUGACAGGGAGAGGACCCACGGAGGGAGAAAGGGGACAAUGGGGAAGGGAGAAGAGCCCCCAAAAGGAACGGGGAGAAAACAGCCAGAGCAGGUGGCAGAGGAAAGGGAGAGAAGCAGG
Molecule: long non-coding RNA, 2863 nt
Organism: Anser brachyrhynchus (Pink-footed goose)
Lineage: Eukaryota; Metazoa; Chordata; Aves; Anseriformes; Anatidae
Source: Ensembl